GAUGAACGCUAGCUACAGGCUUAACACAUGCAAGUCGAGGGACCGGCGCACGGGUGAGUAACACGUACCAACCCUCCCCUUACCCCGGGAAUGCCUUUUCAAAGAAAGAUUAAUACCCCAAAUAAAGGAUGGGGAUGCUGUACAUUUGGUUGUUGGUGAGGUAACGGGUAACCAAGACUUCGUUGGAUAGGGGUUCUGGGAGGAAGGUCCCCGACAUUGAAACUGAGACACGGUCCAAACUCCUACUGGAGGCAGCAGUGAGGAAUAUUGGUCAAUGGGCGCUAGCCUGAACCAGCCAAGUAGCGUGAAGGAUGAAGGCUUAGGGGUCGUAAACUACUUUUAUAUAAGAAUAUGUAUUAUAUGAAUAAGGAUCGGCUAACUCCGUGCCAGCCGCCGCGGUAAUUC
RNAcentral lists this ribosomal RNA (405 nucleotides) under uncultured bacterium. RNAcentral describes it as "partial 16S ribosomal RNA". It matches the Rfam family "Bacterial small subunit ribosomal RNA", at positions 28 to 526 of the family's 1533-position model. The record is from RNAcentral.